AACGAACGCUAUCGGUAUGCUUAACACAUGCAAGUCGGACGGACUAAUUAGGGCUUGCUCCAAUUAGUUAGUGGCAGACGGGUGAGUAACACGUGGGAAUCUGCCCAUCAGUACGGAAUAACUUUUAGAAAUAAAAGCUAAUACCGUAUAUUCUCUACAGAGGAAAGAUUUAUCGCUGAUGGAUGAGCCCGCGUCAGAUUAGGUAGUUGGUGAGGUAACGGCUCACCAAGCCGACGAUCUGUAGCUGGUCUGAGAGGAUGAUCAGCCACACUGGGACUGAGACAAGGCAGGGAUUCCUACGGGAGGCAGCAGUGGGGAAUAUGGAACAAUGGGCGAAAGCAUGAUCCAGUAAUACCGGGUGAGAAAUAAAGGCCCAAGGGGUGAAAAGCUCUAGUAGCAAGGAGGAGAAUGACGUUACGUGCAGAAAAAGCACCGGCUAACUAAGUG
RNAcentral lists this ribosomal RNA (447 nucleotides) under uncultured bacterium. RNAcentral describes it as "partial 16S ribosomal RNA". It matches the Rfam family "Bacterial small subunit ribosomal RNA", at positions 29 to 507 of the family's 1533-position model. The record is from RNAcentral.